Molecule: long non-coding RNA, 983 nt
Organism: Cornus florida
Lineage: Eukaryota; Viridiplantae; Streptophyta; Magnoliopsida; Cornales; Cornaceae
Exons: 3
Source: RefSeq, a predicted model, not a curated record
CCAUCUGCUUUGUAUAUACUUAGAUGUUCUCCUUGCAGCCCAGUCUGUGAAAUAAAACAUGAAGGAAGAAGAGAAAAGAUCUGUGGUUAGAUGAUUUUAGCGGAGAGCUACGAACUGGACGGAGAACAUUCCUGCUCAAGAGGAGUACUACGGAAGAAAGAAAAAAUAAAUAAAUAAAUAAAGCUCAAGAAGAAUGAUUUUUCAGUUCUGUUUUCUCAAUUCCAGUUGGGAUUCAAAAGCAUUUAGAGAGGAAGAUAAAGAAUUUCAUCUGGCAUUAUAAGUUAUAACCCAAAUAGAAAAUCUCUUCACCUGUUGAAGUGGGAUAAAGUGACUUUGCCCAAGUCUGAGGGUGGUUAUGGUGUGAGAGUCUUAAAAAGUAUUGAUUUGGCUCCAAAUUUGUCUUAACUUGGGACUUCAGUCAAUCCAAGGAAGCCUUAUGUAUUGCAAGGUUUAGUGAUAAACACUCUAAAUAGGCCAACUUUUGGAAUUGUGUUCCAAAAGCAAGUGAUUCUGCAGUUUGGAGGAAUCUGCUGUCAGGGAUAGUUUGCUUAAUUAUUUGGAGUUCCAGUUGCAUAAUGGUAGAGAUUUCCGCUUGCUAUUGGAUUCUGGGUAUAAAGGCGCCUCUUUAAUUCAGGUUUUUGGUCCCAGAAGACUGGGAGGAGGCGGGCUGCAGAAAGAUUCUUUGGUUGCUGCUCUGUUACAUGCAAGUCAUUGGAACAUUCCUGCUACUUGGCCUUCUGAGAUUGCAGAGUUUCUUUAGAAUUUUACUAAUUAUAGUUUCCCUACAAAUAUUGUUAGCCGAGAUAUGAUAGGCCCAAAUCAUGGGAUGUGAUUUACCAUAUUAUCUGUGAGAUAUGAUAGCCACAAAUCAUGUAUUUGACUUUAUUUACGCAUAUGUCUAGGCAUAGAAUAUGCAAUGAUUUUAUGUAGUUUCAUUUAUUGUAAUAUAACAUGUGCUCUUUUUAGUAUAUAAAUAUGAGAGU